Long non-coding RNA from Sceloporus undulatus (fence lizard), 317 nucleotides. RefSeq lists it as uncharacterized. The transcript is spliced from 3 exons. The record is from RefSeq and is a predicted model, not a curated record. NCBI's taxonomy places the organism in Eukaryota, Metazoa, Chordata, Lepidosauria, Squamata, Phrynosomatidae.
AUAUUGCUAUAGUAGUUUGUGACAAGCCUGAAAAAGCCAGAGUCUUAUUAGACCAUGUAGAGAAAAAAGAAACCCCAGGCUUGAAAUUCAUUAUUUUGAUGGACCCAUUUGAGAAGGACCUUAAAGAAAGAGGAGAAAAGUGUGGAAUCCAAAUCCAAGCUAUGCAGGAAGUAGAGGACUGUGGUCGAGAAUGCUGGCAUGCUCCUGUUCCACCUCGACCAGACGAUUUAUCGAUUGUAUGCUUUACUAGUGGCACUACAGGUAAUCUUUAUGUCUUCUUAAUGUUUGUCAUGACCUUCAUAAUUAAGACAUUUAAG